GUCAGCUGUUUCGGUAGAAUUAGGGAAUAGUAAACAUUAAAUUUAAUUGUACGCAUUUUAGGAUAAAUAUAAGGCAGACAUCGAAAAUAGUGAUAAUGUAGGCCACAAAUUUCGAAUUAUAACAAAAACAAAUGUCUAGAAAAUCAAUUCCGUUCCGUUCGCCGAACAAAAAUAAAAAAAAAAAUGAUGACAAACAGAUGCCGGCACUGAUUGUUGUUGCUCUCGUUUUUGUAGUUUCUUGUAUUUUUGCAACAAAUUAUGAAACGCAAAGACCGUGAAAAGCGAGCUGCUAACGUAAUCGACGAAAAGCGGAGGAGGAUUGUGGAGACACAAAUAAUCACUGAUUGUGAAGACCAUAUUAUCUUUUCCAUUACACCAGAAAUCGAACCGAAAUUAAAGAAAUUUGCGAAACAAUAAGCUGAAAAAAUGAACGCACACAAUCAAAAAUGGGUGUUAACCCACCCAGGAGCGAGUAUCAGUGAUUCUGUCAAAGUUCAAAAAUAGAAACCCGAAAAUUGGAAAAAAUCAAUUAAGCAAAUUUCAAAUUAAAAAGCCCGAAGACACGAGCACACUCAAUACAAAUCGGAUUAUAGCAAUAAAAACUGGAAGAACCACUUCCGCAACACCACAAUUGAUAGUGAA
Long non-coding RNA from Stomoxys calcitrans (stable fly), 642 nucleotides. RefSeq lists it as uncharacterized. The record is from RefSeq and is a predicted model, not a curated record. The transcript is spliced from 2 exons. NCBI's taxonomy places the organism in Eukaryota, Metazoa, Arthropoda, Insecta, Diptera, Muscidae.